Molecule: long non-coding RNA, 414 nt
Filed under: Setaria viridis
Lineage: Eukaryota; Viridiplantae; Streptophyta; Magnoliopsida; Poales; Poaceae
Description: long non-coding RNA (SVIR_LNC009376)
Source: RNAcentral
ACCUCUCUAUGAAAGCUUAAAAGUUGGAAGGACCCCUCUAUAAAACAUAUUUUGACCUUUCUGAUUUAAAAUCAAAUAGAUAGGGCUGAAACUUUGAAAAUGUGUAGGAAACUGUGGAAAAAUGCUAAAAAUGUAAACCCAAUUUUGUUGGACUCCAGAUGAUGUGUAGUUUCACUGAAAAAUAUUUUUGGACAUGCUACUAUUAUGUAUUUCACCUUAUGAUUUAUUUUGUAUAAAAGCCAAUAAAUGCCUUAUAAAUCAUAGGAUGCUCUGAAAAAUAUGAAACCACUUCUGUUAGUUUAUGAUCUUACAAUUUUAAGUCCAAUGCCUAAAUGCUAAGUUGGUUGGUUUAAAAUUCAGAAAUAGGAUAACUUUCCAAAUGAAUGUUGAGCAACCCCAAAAUGACCCCUCCCC